RNAcentral lists this ribosomal RNA (387 nucleotides) under Chaetoceros sp. RNAcentral describes it as "partial small subunit ribosomal RNA". It matches the Rfam family "Eukaryotic small subunit ribosomal RNA", at positions 582 to 975 of the family's 1831-position model. Lineage: Eukaryota; Bacillariophyta; Thalassiosirophyceae; Chaetocerotales; Chaetocerotaceae. The record is from RNAcentral.
AUUCCAGCUCCAAUAGCGUAUAUUUUAGUUGUUGCAGUUAAAAAGCUCGUAGUUGAAUUUCUGGUGGGAAGAUGCGGACGGCCUCAUGGCUUGUUCCAAGUCUUCCGGCCAUCCUUGGGUGGAGCUCGUCUGGCAUUAAGUUGUCGGGCGGGGGAUGCCCAUCGUUUACUGUGAAAAAAUUAAAGUGUUCAAAGCAGACUUAUGUCGUUGAAUAUAUUAGCAUGGAAUAAUAAGAUAGGACAGCAGUGCUAUUUUGUUGGUUUGCGCACCGUUGUAAUGAUGAAUAGGGACAGUUGUGGGUAUUUAUAUUCACUUGUAAGAGGUGAAAUUCUUAGAUUAAGGGAAGAUAAACUACUGCGAAAGCAUUUACCAAGGAUGUUUUCAUCG